Molecule: ribosomal RNA, 418 nt
Filed under: uncultured microorganism
Description: bacterial SSU rRNA
Rfam family: Bacterial small subunit ribosomal RNA
Source: RNAcentral
GAGUUUGAUCUUGGCUCAGGACGAACGCUGGCGGCGUGCCUAAUACAUGCAAGUCGAGCGGAUCUUCAUUAGCUUGCUUUUGAAGAUCAGCGGCGGACGGGUGAGUAACACGUGGGCAACCUGCCUGUAAGACUGGGAUAACUUCGGGAAACCGGAGCUAAUACCGGAUAAUCCUUUUCCUCUCAUGAGGAAAAGCUGAAAGACGGUUUCGGCUGUCACUUACAGAUGGGCCCGCGGCGCAUUAGCUAGUUGGUGAGGUAACGGCUCACCAAGGCGACGAUGCGUAGCCGACCUGAGAGGGUGAUCGGCCACACUGGGACUGAGACACGGCCCAGACUCCUACGGGAGGCAGCAGUAGGGAAUCUUCCGCAAUGGACGAAAGUCUGACGGAGCAACGCCGCGUGAGCGAUGAAGGCCU